Molecule: ribosomal RNA, 521 nt
Filed under: uncultured microorganism
Description: bacterial SSU rRNA
Rfam family: Bacterial small subunit ribosomal RNA
Source: RNAcentral
GAGUUUGAUCCUGGCUCAGGAUGAACGCUGGCGGCGUGCUUAACACAUGCAAGUCGAACGAAGCGCCUUAUUUGAUUUUCUUCGGAACUGAAGAUUUGGUGACUGAGUGGCGGACGGGUGAGUAACGCGUGGGUAACCUGCCCUGUACAGGGGGAUAACAAUCAGAAAUGACUGCUAAUACCGCAUAAGACCACAGCACCGCAUGGUGCAGGGGUAAAAACUCCGGUGGUACAGGAUGGACCCGCGUCUGAUUAGCUGGUUGGUGAGGUAACGGCUCACCAAGGCGACGAUCAGUAGCCGGCUUGAGAGAGUGAACGGCCACAUUGGGACUGAGACACGGCCCAAACUCCUACGGGAGGCAGCAGUGGGGAAUAUUGCACAAUGGGGGAAACCCUGGAUGCAGCAACGCCGCGUGAGUGAAGAAGUAUUUCGGUAUGUAAAGCUCUAUCAGCAGGGAAGAAAGUGACGGUACCUGACUAGAAGCCCCGGCUAACUACGUGCCAGCAGCCGCGGUAACACCG